This is a long non-coding RNA of Oncorhynchus tshawytscha (Chinook salmon), 1385 nucleotides long. Lineage: Eukaryota; Metazoa; Chordata; Actinopteri; Salmoniformes; Salmonidae. The record is from Ensembl.
CAGAAAACAACGUGAAAGCUGGUAGGAGUAGCUUUAAAAAAAAAAAUCAAGUACAGUAUGAAUACUGUCGUCUAUGAAGUUUUUUUUUAAUUCAACAAGGAGGGAUCAGCCAAUGAAGUUGGAAGUCCGACCCAGUUGACUACAUUAAGAUGGUGGAAGCUCUCAAUGGUGCUUCCCAUGCUAACGCAGACUUUUGGCCACUAGAGGCCUCUAUCAUUCUCUAUGGUUCGAGCAGCUCAGUGUGUUGCAUUAUGGAGACAAAAAUUGUCAGACUUGCGCCUACAUGUGGACUGCAUGAACUUUACAAAAACCAUGUGAUCAAAGGGCAUGCCGUUAAUGGGCUUGUUUAACAUUGCAGGCGAAUGCCGACUGACUGAUCUACAAAGAACCUUGUUUAAUAAAUAACUACUCAUGAUACAUUACAGUUUUGAUCCUCUGUAACAGUCUUUGAUGAAGUUGUCUUCAAGUCGCUGCAGUUGCGUCAUACCAACUGCACCAUGCAGCCAUCACCUGCAUUGAGGCACUAUUUGUCAGCCCUAACUUUAACACAAUUCUAAAGCUACAGGAGAUACAAAUUAAAGUGAUAUUUAAGAUCUCUAACCAAUUAUUUGCAAAUAAGUUCAAUCAAAUACAUUUUUAUUCCUCACAUGCUUUGUAAAUGGCAGGUAGCCUAGUGGUUAUAGCGUUGGGCCAAUAACCGAAAGGUUGCUAGAUCAAUCCCCAAGCUGUCAAGGUAAAAAUCUGUCUUUCUUCCCCUGAAAAAGGCAGUUAACUCACUGUUCCUAGGCUGUCAUUGUAAAUAAGAAUUUACUUGCCUAGUUAAAUAAACAACAGGUGUAGACUAAAACUGAAACGCUUACUUACGGGCCAUUCCCAACAAUGUAGAAAGAAAAUGGAUAAAUAAUAGAAAUGCAAUAGUAAAUACACAAUGAGUAACAAUAACUUGACUAUAUACAUGAGGUAUCAAGUCGAUGUGAAGGGAACGAGGUAAUUGAGGUAGAUAUGUACAUAUAACUAGGAAUGAAGUGACUAGUCAACAGGACAGAUAAACAGUAGCAGCAGUGUGUUAUGUGGGCUUGUAAAAUUUUCAUUAAAACAUUUAGAAAGACUCUUCCCCAAAUGUUUAUUGAAAACAAAUACAUUUUCACAAAUACAUCGUUACAGUUAGUUAGCUAGCACAUUUUUGCCAUAUUAGCAUUGACAUGAAACCAGUCAAAACACCUCAAAACAAGGCAUGGUAUCAAGAACAAGAUAAAACUAGCUGAAAUGAGCCAACUGCGAUUCCCUGCAUGUCAUUGUUGCUAGCUACAGCAUCUGACUAUUCAGAAUUAUAACUAAGAAUGGCUUCCGGGACCAAUGCACGCGCAUAAUUUGUGACGUUGUCA